UGCAUGAGUGGCGGACGGGUGAGUAACGCGUGGGCAACCUGGCCUGUACAGGGGGAUAACACUUAGAAAUAGGUGCUAAUACCGCAUAACGGGGGAAGCCGCAUGGCUUUUCCCUGAAAACUCCGGUGGUACAGGAUGGGCCCGCGUCUGAUUAGCCAGUUGGCAGGGUAACGGCCUACCAAAGCGACGAUCAGUAGCCGGCCUGAGAGGGCGGACGGCCACAUUGGGACUGAGACACGGCCCAAACUCCUACGGAAGGCAGCAG
This 265-nucleotide ribosomal RNA is filed under the name uncultured bacterium. RNAcentral's name for it is "partial 16S ribosomal RNA". It matches the Rfam family "Bacterial small subunit ribosomal RNA", at positions 88 to 354 of the family's 1533-position model. The record is from RNAcentral.